Molecule: ribosomal RNA, 245 nt
Filed under: uncultured Actinomycetales bacterium
Lineage: Bacteria; Bacillati; Actinomycetota; Actinomycetes; Actinomycetales
Description: partial 16S ribosomal RNA
Rfam family: Bacterial small subunit ribosomal RNA
Source: RNAcentral
GGUGCUCGAGUGGCGAACGGGUGAGUAACACGUGGGUGAUCUGCCCUGCACUUCGGGAUAAGCUUGGGAAACUGGGUCUAAUACCGGAUAGGAGCCAUCUUUAGUGUGGUGGUUGGAAAGUUUCGGCGGUUGGGGAUGGACUCGCGGCUUAUCAGCUUGUUGGUGGGGUAGUGGCUUACCAAGGCUUUGACGGGUAGCCGGCCUGAGAGGGUGACCGGCCACAUUGGGACUGAGAUACGGCCCAG